RNAcentral lists this ribosomal RNA (465 nucleotides) under uncultured bacterium. RNAcentral's name for it is "partial 16S ribosomal RNA". It matches the Rfam family "Bacterial small subunit ribosomal RNA", at positions 28 to 507 of the family's 1533-position model. The record is from RNAcentral.
GACGAACGCUGGCGGCGUGCUUAACACAUGCGAGUCGAACGGAAAGGCCCUGCUUGCAGGGUACUCGAGUGGCGAACGGGUGAGUAACACGUGGGUGAUCUGCCCUGCACUUCGGGAUAAGCCUGGGAAACUGGGCCUAAUACCGGAUAGGAGCUAUUUUUAGUGUGAUGGUUGGAAAGUUUUGUCGGGGUAGGAUGAGCUCGCGGCCUAUCAGCUUGUUGGUGGGGUAAUGGCCUACCAAGGCGGCGACGGGUAGCCGGCCUGUGAGGGUGGACGGCCACCCUGGGUCUGAGAGACGGCCCAGACUCCUACGGGUGGCAGCAGUGGGGAAUAUUGCCCGAGCGGCGCCAGCCUGAUGCAGCGACGCCGCGUGUGGGAUGACGGCCUUCGUGUUGUAAACUCCGUUCGCUAGUGACGAAGCUUUUUGUGACGGUACCUAGACAAGAAGCACCGGCUAACUACGUG